AGAGUUUGAUCCUGGCUCAGGAUGAACGCUGGCGGUAUGCUUAACACAUGCAAGUCGAACGGAUGUUUUCGGACAUUAGUGGCGGACGGGUGAGUAACGCGUGAGAAUCUAGCUUCAGGUUGGGGACAACAGUUGGAAACGACUGCUAAUACCGAAUAUGCCGAGAGGUGAAAGAUUAAUUGCCUGAAGAAGAGCUCGCGUCUGAUUAGCUAGUUGGUGGGGUAAGAGCUUACCAAGGCGACGAUCGGUAGCUGGUCUGAGAGGACGAUCAGCCACACUGGGACUGAGACACGGCCCAGACUCCUACGGGAGGCAGCAGUGGGGAAUUUUCCGCAAUGGGCGAAAGCCUGACGGAGCAAUACCGCGUGAGGGAAGAAGGCUCUUGGGUUGUAAACCUCUUUUCUUAGGGAAGAAAAAAAUGACGGUACCUAAGGAAUAAGCAUCGGCUAACUCCGUGCCAGCAGCCGCGGUAAUACGGAGGAUGCAAGCGUUAUCCGGAAUGAUUGGGCGUAAAGCGUCCGCAGGUGGCAAGUCAAGUUUGCGGUUAAAGGUUCUGGCUCAACCAGAGACAAGCCGUGAAAACUGACUAGCUAGAGUAUGGUAGGGGCGGAGGGAAUUCCCAGUGUAGCGGUGAAAUGCGUAGAGAUUGGGAAGAACACCGGUGGCGAAAGCGCUCUGCUAGGCCAAAACUGACACUGAGGGACGAAAGCUAGGGGAGCGAAUGGGAUUAGAUACCCCCGUAGUCC
Molecule: ribosomal RNA, 746 nt
Filed under: uncultured cyanobacterium
Lineage: Bacteria; Bacillati; Cyanobacteriota
Description: bacterial SSU rRNA
Rfam family: Bacterial small subunit ribosomal RNA
Source: RNAcentral